GACGAACGCUGGCGGCGUGCCUAAUACAUGCAAGUCGGGCGAACGUAUUCUAAUCCUUCCACUCGGAUAUCAUCGCGGCACACGUGAGUAUCACGCGUAUAACACAUGCAUCAUACACGGAGACAACUGUUGAACACGAGAGCUUAUACCGUAUAACAGUGUUUCUCACGUGUCAAAUAUUUAAGAGUUGGUUAUUCUCACACUUUGAUAUGUCUUUGCGGUGCAUUAGCUAGUUGGUGGGGUAAAGGCCCACCAAGGCAACGAUGCAUAGCCGACCUGAGAGGGUGAUCGGCCACACUGGGACUGAGACACGGUCCAGACUCCUACGGGAGGCAGCAGUAGGGAAUCUUCCGCAAAGGGCGAAAGCCUGACGGAGCAACGCCGCGUGAGUGAAGAAGGACUUCGGUUCGUAAAGCUCUGUUAUUAGGGAAGAACGUAUAUGUAGGAAAUAGAGAUGUAAGAGACGGUACCUAAUCAGAAAGCCACGGCUAACUACGUG
RNAcentral lists this ribosomal RNA (499 nucleotides) under uncultured bacterium. RNAcentral describes it as "partial 16S ribosomal RNA". It matches the Rfam family "Bacterial small subunit ribosomal RNA", at positions 28 to 507 of the family's 1533-position model. The record is from RNAcentral.